Molecule: ribosomal RNA, 497 nt
Filed under: uncultured bacterium
Lineage: Bacteria
Description: partial 16S ribosomal RNA
Rfam family: Bacterial small subunit ribosomal RNA
Source: RNAcentral
GAUGAACGCUGGCGGCGUGCCUAAUACAUGCCAGUCGAGCGAACGGACGAGAAGCUUGCUUCUCUGAUGUUAGCGGCGGACGGGUGAGUAACACGUGGAUAACCUACCUAUAAGACUGGGACAACUUCGGGAAACCGUAGCUAAUACCGGAUAAUAUUUUGAACCGCAUGGUUCAAAAGUGAAAGACGGUCUUGCUGUCACUUAUAGAUGGAUCCGCGCUGCAUUAGCUAGUUGGUAAGGUAACGGCUUACCAAGGCAACGAUGCAUAGCCGACCUGAGAGGGUGAUCGGCCACACUGGAACUGAGACACGGUCCAGACUCCUACGGGAGGCAGCAGUAGGGAAUCUUCCGCAAUGGGCGAAAGCCUGACGGAGCAACGCCGCGUGAGUGAUGAAGGUCUUCGGAUCGUAAAACUCUGUUAUUAGGGAAGAACAUAUGUGUAAGUAACUGUGCACAUCUUGACGGUACCUAAUCAGAAAGCCACGGCUAACUACGUG